CAAGUCUCCUCCGUCUGCGAGUCUUCCUGUAUGCUUCCUUCCUUACAAGGCUGGGCUAAAGUUUUUUAAGGCCCAUGGAAAAGCCUGUGAAAAGGGCCCUUUUAUAUGAUCAAUUUUUUUCGUGGAUUGGUUUUUGAACAUCUAUUUUCACUUUUUGCAUAGCUUUUUUUAUUUUAUUUUUUAUUAAAUUUAUUCAAACUAAUAACUAAAAAAAGAUGGAUCUGCAAGAGGUGGAAAAGAGCUUUUAAAAAUUACUAGUAGGCGUAUUCGUGUAUUGCUGUGGGAUUUUGAAUUUUGUUCAAGUAGAAAGUCUUGACAAGAUGCGGUAAAAAGCACAGUUUAAUGUUUACAUUAUAUGCAACAUUCAUGUAAAGUCUUAAAACUUUGUUCAAGUUAACAAAAUGGGGACAUUGGAAUGCCAAACUCAAGAAGUGUUAUUUACAUCCAUUUAUUACAUAGACACCCAAAUGUGUUCCUUUAGGGUGCGUUUGGUACGUGGGACGAGACGGAACAGAGUGGGACGGACGCGUUCCGUCCCACGUUUGGUGCGCUUAAAUUGUGUGGAACGCCUGUCCCACGGAACGAAAAUGGGUUAAAUUUUGGUUCCAUAUACCCCCUGGAACGGGUUGUUCCAUCCCGUAGAACACAAAUUUAUAAUUUUUUGGACAACAAUACCCCUCAUCUUUUUCAUUAAUUCCACUGUCUACCCUUGCUUUCUCUCCCGUAGCCUCCAUCUCUUCGAAUUCGUUCCUCUCUCCCGUAGCCUCCCUCUCUUCGAAUUCGAUCCCAGCAAACCCAUCUGAACCCAAACCAUGGCUUCCGGUUCAGUCCCUUCGCGCUCUAUCUUCUUCUCCGGCGCCGUCACCUCCGCGCUCAACCUUCUUCUCUGGCGCCGUCACCUCCGCGCUCCACCUUCUUCUUCGACACUCCGACCUCCUCGUCGAGGCGGUACCAAUCGCGAUCCAGUGACGGCAGUGAAGACUGAAGAAGAUGGUGUUGUGGGUAGACAAGUACCGACCCAAAACCCUAGACCAGACAAUUGUCCACCAAGACAUCGCCCAAAACCUCAAGAAACUCGUGCAACUCUACCCCUCCCUCGUCGAUUUCAAUUCCCAAUUUCUACGAUUUCAUAACCCUAACUUCUUCUUGUGCAGAUUGCAGAGCAGGAUUGCCCCCAUUUGCUCUUUUAUGUCGUUGGGCUUUGCUGCCACAUCGAUGAGGAGCAUCCGGUGGAGGCUAAGAACGGGGCAUUUUGUUCAAUUUCACUUUUUUUAGUUUAAUUUUGUAAGUUUUACAGUAAAAAUGGUUGUUUGAAUACGAACUUUCGAGAUUCAGAUCUUCUGUGGAUUGAUUUUUAUGGGUUUGAUUUACUGAGAUUGAUUUUUACUGGGAUCAAUCUGGGCAUGCGAAGAACACGAAACGUAUGGAAGAAGAGAAAGCAGAGAAACGGGAGAGAGAGGGAGAGUCAAAUAAAAAGGGCAAGUUAGUCAUUUAAUCCCGUUCCGUUCUGUUCCAUCUUGCUAGUACCAAACAUGACACGAAAUCUUUGUUCCGUUCCAUCCCGUUCCGUUCCGUCCCAUCCAGUCCCGUUUCGUCCCGUCUGCGUACCAAACGGUAUCUUAUAGACACCCAAAUUGGUAAGUCGGAUGAUGAUUUUGUUCCUUUUAUGUCCAAACUGUAUUUAAAAAACAACUAAAAAUUUGUUCUUUUAUAGACACCCAAAUCCACAAAGCCAUCGAACAUCAAUAUAAUAACCGAACUCAAAUAGAAAGAAAGAAAAAAA
This 1783-nucleotide long non-coding RNA is filed under the name Malus domestica (apple). Its description in RNAcentral is "long non-coding RNA (MDOM_LNC018885)". The record is from RNAcentral. Lineage: Eukaryota; Viridiplantae; Streptophyta; Magnoliopsida; Rosales; Rosaceae.